CAGUAAUUUUGUUGUUUAUGCACAAACUAACUUAUAUUAAAUAACAUUGGGCUAUUCCAUUAAAUAUCCGUACCCCCCCUGUCGAGGAUCCCUGGAAUUCUUCAGGGGUAAAGGGUUUUGAGCUUGGAAUUCUUCAGGGGUAAAGUGUUUUGAGCUUGGAAUUCUUCAGGGUAAAGUGUUUUGAGUUUGGAAUUCUUCAGGGGUAAAUGGUUUUGAGCUUGGAAUUCUUCAGGGGUAAAGGGUUUUGAGCUUGGAAUUCUUCAGGGGUGAAGAGGUUUGAGAUUGAAAUUUUUCAGAGCUUGGAAUUCUUCAGGGGUAAAAGGUUUUGAGCUUGAAAUUCUUCAGGGGUAAAGGGCUUUGAGCCUGGAAUUCUUUAGGGGUGAAGGGUUUUGAGCUUGGAAUUCUUCAGGGGUAAAAGGUUUUGAGCUUGGAAUUCCUCAGGGGUAAAGGGUUUUGAGCUUGGAAUUUUGGAAUUCUUCAGGGGUAAAAGGUUUUGAGCUUGGAAUUCUUCAGGGGUAAAGAGUUUUGAGCUUGGAAUUUUGGAAUUCUUCAGGGGUAAACAGUUUUGAGCUUGGAAUUCUUCAGGGGUAUGACAAUGAAAAACAUGUAUCCUCGACAGGGGGGUACGGAUAUUAAAUGGAAUAGCCCAUUUCGAAUUUUCAGAGUCGUGCACCAAGAAAUACGCAUUAAAUAAACUAGCAAGAAUGUCCAGAGUUAGACACAAUGCAAAAUGCAUAGGAAACAGGUACAAUUGGUUCAACAUUUUCACGAAAUUGUUUGAAACAUUUUGCCCGCUGAGGCCCCACUCCACGAAACACGAAAGGCCCCGCCAUUUUGAAAAGGAUCAAGCAGCUCAUUAAUAUUCUAUUUUGUGGCUAUCGACGAUUGGAGAUUGGACAUUGGAGAUUGCCGAUCCAAGAACAGAGCCGAAACCUAUACUCGUCUGGGGCACAGGUGCCCCAGCGAGUAAAAAGCAAGCAACGCAGUCAGUAAUUGCCAAAUUUGCAAGUGCUCAUUUUCAACUAAAAUCGGAACAGGCAAAUUAGGACGAAUUUCAACAGAAAACCAGUCUCAAACUUCAAAACGUGAGAGAAGUCGUGCGACCACAUUAGCAUUUAUAUUUAUGUGUGCUUCGCUGUCGCCAUUGGCAUUGUUAUAAAUAAAUUGUCUCACUUAUCAGAUCGUGUGUGCAUGCAAUCCUUGUUGGCGGC
Molecule: non-coding RNA, 1211 nt
Organism: Paramuricea clavata
Lineage: Eukaryota; Metazoa; Cnidaria; Anthozoa; Malacalcyonacea; Plexauridae
Source: the annotation of a GenBank genome assembly